This is a long non-coding RNA of Carcharodon carcharias (great white shark), 651 nucleotides long. RefSeq lists it as uncharacterized. The record is from RefSeq and is a predicted model, not a curated record. The transcript has 2 exons. Lineage: Eukaryota; Metazoa; Chordata; Chondrichthyes; Lamniformes; Lamnidae.
CAUUACAGGGAUUGUGGGGAGGUGAUGGUGGAUGAAUUGCCACCCCGCUGGAAGCAAAGCAACCCCACUCCAUGGCAGCCCAAUCAACAGCCACACACGCAGUGUGGAAAUUCCGCCCCUCAUCGGGGAGGAGCUCCUGCCUUUGGGAUCUGUCUGUCAAUCCGAUUUUCUGGAAGCUCUAUCAGUACUAAGAUCGCAUUAGUGGGCGUUGCUGGCACUGCAAGCAGGCCCAAGAAGAAAGCCCAUGGAACCCAGAGCUAGAUGGAGGAGGGACAAGCGACAUUAUCAUGAGCAAUGAGGAAAUGGCAGAGACAUUGAACAAAUACUUUGUCUCUGGCUUCACAGUAGAAGACACAAAUUACAUCGCAGAAGUUGUGUGAAACCAGACAACAUCAGGUGACACCAUGGCAGGUGAUGCGCCACAUUUAAAGGGCUGCUAGGACUGCAUUUAAUGAGGACCACCUGCCGGGACAACUCAGAGGUGAAAGGAAACCUGCAGCCAGAAUGGCAGAAGAGAUACCCCAGAAAGCCCCAUCGCCUCAAGUAACUGCGACAACAGAGGAGGGUCCUGUACCUGCAUAGGAGCCCCUCACCAUGCAGGGUACCACAUGUUUUGUCACUCAAUAAAGGAUUAAUGUACUUUGCACUUAA